This 301-nucleotide ribosomal RNA is filed under the name uncultured bacterium. Its description in RNAcentral is "partial 16S ribosomal RNA". It matches the Rfam family "Bacterial small subunit ribosomal RNA", at positions 509 to 807 of the family's 1533-position model. The record is from RNAcentral.
CAGUCGCCGCGGGAAUACGAAGGGGGCUAGCGUUGCUCGGAAUGACUGGGCGUAAAGGGCGCGUAGGCGGCGAUCAAAGUCAGGCGUGAAAUUCCUGGGCUCAACCUGGGGGCUGCGCAUGAUACUGGGUUGCUUGAGUGGGGAAGAGGGUCGUGGAAUUCCCGGUGUAGCGGUGAAAUGCGUAGAGAUCGGAAGGAACAUCAGUGGCGAAGGCGGCCAUCUGGGACAACACUAACGCUGAUGCACGAAAGCGUGGGGAGCAAACAGGAUUAGAGACCCCGGUAGUCCCUGUCUCUUAUAC